This 506-nucleotide ribosomal RNA is filed under the name uncultured bacterium. RNAcentral's name for it is "partial 16S ribosomal RNA". It matches the Rfam family "Bacterial small subunit ribosomal RNA", at positions 28 to 523 of the family's 1533-position model. The record is from RNAcentral.
GAUGAACGCUAGCUACAGGCUUAACACAUGCAAGUCGAGGGGUAACGAGAGGAAAGCUUGCUUUCCUUGUCGACGACCGGCGCACGGGUGAGUAACGCGUAUCCAACCUGCCCCCAACUAGGGAAUAACCUUGCGAAAGUAAGACUAAUACCCUAUAAUUUCCUCAGAUGUCAUCUGACGAGGAAUAAAGAUUUAUCGGUUGUGGAUGGGGAUGCGUCUGAUUAGCUUGUUGGCGGGGUAAGGGCCACACAAGGCAACGAUCAGUAGGGGUUCUGAGAGGAAGGUCCCCCACAUUGGAACUGAGACACGGUCCAAACUCCUACGGGAGGCAGCAGUGAGGAAUAUUGGUCAAUGGGCGGAAGCCUGAACCAGCCAAGUAGCGUGCAGGAUGACGGCCCUAUGGGUUGUAAACUGCUUUUAUACAGGAAUAAAGUUAGCCACGUGUGGUUAUUUGUAGGUACUGUAUGAAUAAGGACCGGCUAAUUCCGUGCCAGCAGCCGCCGUAA